GAGUCGAGUUAUUUGGGACUAUAGCUCUAAUAGUUUGGUUGGUGGUAAUGACACAUCAAAGGCUAAAUAUUGGUUAGAUCGAUGCAUAUUGCGGAGACCGAUAGCAUACAAGUACCGUAAGGGAACGAUGAAAAGCACCCUAUUGAGUUCACGGCACAGACUCGACGCGCGGUUCGCCGCGUGACCUGUCCAGUGCCCAACAACUAUAGUGGGAGUGAAAGAGAGAGUGAAAUCGCCUAUACAUAAAAUAUAUGCACUACACACAGUAACUGCAUGCAGUCUGCGUUAGUACAAUCGGACAGAGUGUCGUAUCAUUGUAUGGCCGCCUAAUACAUAACACACACACAUUACACUGUGUAUUAUGGUCAGGCCCAUAGCUGGGUUCGCCCGCUAUACGCGACACAACUGUACGACCCGUUUUGAAACACGGACCAAGGAGUUCAACUGGAUUACGAGUCGUCGAGUAACAUCUAAUAUGUACACUCACACGGCACAGCGAAAGCAACUUAAUCCUUUUUACAGUGCUAGGUCGGCCGUCAAAAGCUGACCGCAGCACGCGCUGAGUGAGUAUAUGCGUGAGGGCCUCGUGUCAACGCGCGUACCUGUACGCCUUUGUGCGAACAGGAUCACUCAAGCGUUCAACGAGUAUAUCUUGUUGAGACCCGAAAGAUGGUGAACUAUGCUCGGAUAUGGCGAAGUCAGGUGAAAACUUGAUGGAAGCUUGCGUUGUGCGGAACUGACGUGCAAAUCGUUACCGCCUAACCUGAGUAUAGGGGCGAAAGACUCAUCGAACCAUCUAGUAGCUGGUUCCCUCCGAAGUUUCUCUCAGGAUAGC
RNAcentral lists this ribosomal RNA (835 nucleotides) under Ammonia sp. AmmJ1. RNAcentral describes it as "partial 28S ribosomal RNA". It matches the Rfam family "Eukaryotic large subunit ribosomal RNA", at positions 262 to 982 of the family's 3401-position model. Lineage: Eukaryota; Foraminifera; Rotaliida; Rotaliidae. The record is from RNAcentral.